AGUGAACGCUGGCGGUAGGCCUAACACAUGCAAGUCGAACGGCAGCACAGUAAGAGCUUGCUCUUACGGGUGGCGAGUGGCGGACGGGUGAGGAAUACAUCGGAAUCUACUUUUUCUUGGGGGAUAACGUGGGGAAACUUACGCUAAUACCGCAUACGACCUACGGGUGAAAGCAUGGGAUCUUCGGACCUUGCGCGAUUGAAUGAGCCGAUGUCGGAUUAGCUAGUUGGCGGGGUAAAAGCCCACCAAGGCGACGAUCCGUAGCUGGUCUGAGAGGAUGAUCAGCCACACUGGAACUGAGACACGGUCCAGACUCCUACGGGAGGCAGCAGUGGGGAAUAUUGGACAAUGGGCGCAAGCCUGAUCCAGCCAUACCGCGUGGGUGAAGAAGGCCUUCGGGUUGUAAAGCCCUUUUGUUGGGAAAGAAAAGCAGCAGGUUAAUACCCCGCUGUUCUGACGGUACCCAAAGAAUAAGCACCGGCUAACUUCGUG
This 492-nucleotide ribosomal RNA is filed under the name uncultured bacterium. RNAcentral describes it as "partial 16S ribosomal RNA". It matches the Rfam family "Bacterial small subunit ribosomal RNA", at positions 29 to 507 of the family's 1533-position model. The record is from RNAcentral.